GUGCUCUCUUAGAUUGCACAUAUUCUAAAAUUAGAAUAAUACAGAGAAGAUUAGCCUGGCCCUCUGCAAGGCUGACAAGCAAAUCCACGAAGCAUUCCAUAUUUAA
This 106-nucleotide small nuclear RNA is filed under the name Meriones unguiculatus (Mongolian gerbil). The record is from RNAcentral. Lineage: Eukaryota; Metazoa; Chordata; Mammalia; Rodentia; Muridae.